AUGUGGGUGCAGGAGUGGAAGCCGGUGAUGGGAAUGCUGGCCUUCGACCUCAUCUCUGCUGUGAUGACGGCGCUGGUGAAGAAGGCUCUGGAGCAAGGGCUGAACCGCCUGGUCCUCGUCACCCUCCGGCUGGUCGCUAACAUCUUCCUUGCUCCAAUAGCCUUUUUCAAAGAACGGAGCACGAGGCCCAAGCUCACAUUGGAGGUCCUAGCGUACCUCUUCUUCAGCGCCGUGUUUGGCGCGACGCUCUCACAGUACACCUUCUUCUAUGGCUUGCAGUACACCACUUCCACCUUCGCCAUAACCUUCAUCAACCUCUCUCCUGUGCUCACCUUCCUCAUCGCCGUCGUGAUGAGGAUGGAACCGCUGAAGUUGAAGAGCAUGGUGGGAGCCGCAAAGAUCACCGGAACGCUCACGUCGCUGGCCGGCUUGCUGCUGCUGAGUCUCUACAAGGGUGUGCCACUGACGCACCAGGCUGCCACUGCACCUAGCCCAGCUGCUCACCAUGCAGCACCCUCCGACAGCAGUGGCAACAGGAGCUGGAUGCUGGGCACCAUGGCUUUGCUGUUCAACUGCCUGCGCUUCUCCUUCUGGCUGCUGCUGCAGACAAAGCUGACCAAGAAGUACCCGGCCAUCUACUCCAGCACUGCCAUCAUGUUCUUCAGUAAAUGGCAUCGACAUUCCACAGAACAAAUGUCAACUAGGAUGCGUGUGUAUGUAUCAAAUAUGGCAGGAUUUGUUCCUCGCGCCGGAGUACACCAAUGCAAUGGUGCGGAGGCCGUACAAAUUUCUUAUUUCCAUUGCUACAAGUUUGAGUGA
Molecule: ribosomal RNA, 819 nt
Filed under: Triticum aestivum (bread wheat)
Lineage: Eukaryota; Viridiplantae; Streptophyta; Magnoliopsida; Poales; Poaceae
Description: partial small subunit ribosomal RNA
Source: RNAcentral